This 46-nucleotide small RNA is filed under the name Candidatus Electrothrix aarhusensis. RNAcentral's name for it is "Acido-Lenti-1 RNA". It matches the Rfam family "Acido-Lenti-1 RNA". Lineage: Bacteria; Pseudomonadati; Thermodesulfobacteriota; Desulfobulbia; Desulfobulbales; Desulfobulbaceae. The record is from Rfam by way of RNAcentral.
CCCAGCGUUGAAACGCUGGGCUAUUUGCUGUCGUCCCUCCGGGACU